RNAcentral lists this transfer RNA (69 nucleotides) under Rattus norvegicus (Norway rat). It matches the Rfam family "tRNA". Rfam says of the family: Transfer RNA (tRNA) molecules are approximately 80 nucleotides in length. The record is from Rfam by way of RNAcentral. Lineage: Eukaryota; Metazoa; Chordata; Mammalia; Rodentia; Muridae.
GGGGAUUUGGCUCAGUGGUAGAGUGCUUGCCUAGGAAGCGCAAGGUCCUGGGUUCGAUCCCCAGCCCCA